GCUCAGAACGAACGCUGGCGGCGUGCUUAAUACAUGCAAGUUGUGCGAGAAAGUUCCUUCGGGAAGUGAGUACAGCGGCGAACGGGUGAGUAACACGUAAGCAAUCUGCCUCAUAGAUCGGGACAACCCUGCUAACGCGGGGCUAAUACCGGAUGGUAAACACUGUUCGCAUGGAUAGUGUUUUAAAUGGAGUAAUCCGCUAUGAGAUGAGCUUGCGGACCAUUAGUUUGUUGGCAGGGUAAUGGCCUACCAAGACGACGAUGGUUAGCCGACCUGAGAGGGUGAUCGGCCACAUUGGGACUGAGAUACGGCCCAGACUCCUACGGGAGGCAGCAGUAGGGAAUUUUGCGCAAUGGACGAAAGUCUGACGCAGCAACGCCGCGUGAGCGAUGAAGGCCUUCGGGUUGUAAAGCUCUGUUGAGUGGGAAGAAAUGGUUUCGGCCUUGACGGUACCACUCGAGGAAGCCCCGGCUAAAUACGUGCCAGCAGCCGCGGUAAUACGUAUGGGGCAAGCGUUGUUCGGAUUUACUGGGCGUAAAGGGAGCGUAGGCGAAAUGGUAAGUUAGAAGUGUAAUCUGCAGGCUUAACCUGCAGCUCGCUUUUAAUACUGCUUUUCUUGAGUAGUGGAGAGGAAGACGGAAUUCCAGGUGUAGCGGUGGAAUGCGUAGAUAUCUGGAAGAACACCAGUUGCGAAGGCGGUCUUCUGGCCACAUACUGACGCUGAGGCUCGAAAGCGUGGGGAGCGAACAGGAUUAGAUACCCUGGUAGUCCACGCCGUAAACGAUGGACACUAGUUGCUGGUCUCUUCGGGGAUCAGUGACGUAGCUAACGCGUUAAGUGUCCCGCCUGGGGAGUACGCCCGCAAGGGUGAAACUCAAAGGAAUUGACGGGGGCCCGCACAAGCGGUGGAGCAUGUGCUUUAAUUCGAUGCAACGCGAAGAACCUCACCUGGGCUUGACAUGGGAAUGAAAGGUUUUAGAGAUAAGACCCUUUCCUUCGGGAACAUUCUACACAGGUGCUGCAUGGUUGUCGUCAGCUCGUGUCGUGAGAUGUUGGGUUAAGUCCCGCAACGAGCGCAACCCCUGCCCUUAGUUGCCAGCGAGUCAUGUCGGGAACUCUAGGGGGACCGCCUGGUAUAACCAGGAGGAAGGUGGGGAUGACGUCAAAUCCUCAUGGCCCUUACGCCCAGGGCUAGACACGUGCUACAAUGGCCGGUACAAUGGGCUGCGAAGUCGCGAGGCUAAGCCAAUCCCAGAAAACCGGUCUCAGUUCGGAUUGGAGUCUGCAAUUCGACUCCAUGAAGGUGGAAUCGCUAGUAAUCGCGGAUCAGCAUGCCGCGGUGAAUACGUUCCCGGGCAUUGUACACACCGCCCGUCAAGCCACGAAAGAUGGCAGUGCCCGAAGUCGCUUCUCUAACCGCAAGGAAGAGGGUGC
Molecule: ribosomal RNA, 1434 nt
Filed under: uncultured organism
Description: bacterial SSU rRNA
Rfam family: Bacterial small subunit ribosomal RNA
Source: RNAcentral